This 2900-nucleotide ribosomal RNA is filed under the name Klebsiella pneumoniae. RNAcentral's name for it is "bacterial LSU rRNA". It matches the Rfam family "Bacterial large subunit ribosomal RNA". The record is from RNAcentral. Lineage: Bacteria; Pseudomonadati; Pseudomonadota; Gammaproteobacteria; Enterobacterales; Enterobacteriaceae.
UUAAGCGACUAAGCGUACACGGUGGAUGCCCUGGCAGUCAGAGGCGAUGAAGGACGUGCUAAUCUGCGAAAAGCGUCGGUAAGGUGAUAUGAACCGUUAUAGCCGGCGAUGUCCGAAUGGGGAAACCCAGUGCAAUUCGUUGCACUAUCGUUAACUGAAUACAUAGGUUAACGAGGCGAACCGGGGGAACUGAAACAUCUAAGUACCCCGAGGAAAAGAAAUCAACCGAGAUUCCCCCAGUAGCGGCGAGCGAACGGGGAGCAGCCCAGAGUCUGAAUCAGCUUGUGUGUUAGUGGAACGGUCUGGAAAGUCCGACGGUACAGGGUGAUAGUCCCGUACACCAAAAUGCACAGGUUGUGAACUCGAAGAGUAGGGCGGGACACGUGGUAUCCUGUCUGAAUAUGGGGGGACCAUCCUCCAAGGCUAAAUACUCCUGACUGACCGAUAGUGAACCAGUACCGUGAGGGAAAGGCGAAAAGAACCCCGGCGAGGGGAGUGAAAAAGAACCUGAAACCGUGUACGUACAAGCAGUGGGAGCACCUUCGGGUGUGACUGCGUACCUUUUGUAUAAUGGGUCAGCGACUUAUAUUCUGUAGCAAGGUUAACCGUAUAGGGGAGCCGCAGGGAAACCGAGUCUUAACUGGGCGUUAAGUUGCAGGGUAUAGACCCGAAACCCGGUGAUCUAGCCAUGGGCAGGUUGAAGGUUGGGUAACACUAACUGGAGGACCGAACCGACUAAUGUUGAAAAAUUAGCGGAUGACUUGUGGCUGGGGGUGAAAGGCCAAUCAAACCGGGAGAUAGCUGGUUCUCCCCGAAAGCUAUUUAGGUAGCGCCUCGUGAACUCAUCUUCGGGGGUAGAGCACUGUUUCGGCUAGGGGGUCAUCCCGACUUACCAACCCGAUGCAAACUACGAAUACCGAAGAAUGUUAUCACGGGAGACACACGGCGGGUGCUAACGUCCGUCGUGAAGAGGGAAACAACCCAGACCGCCAGCUAAGGUCCCAAAGUCAUGGUUAAGUGGGAAACGAUGUGGGAAGGCACAGACAGCCAGGAUGUUGGCUUAGAAGCAGCCAUCAUUUAAAGAAAGCGUAAUAGCUCACUGGUCGAGUCGGCCUGCGCGGAAGAUGUAACGGGGCUAAACCAUGCACCGAAGCUGCGGCAGCGACACUAUGUGUUGUUGGGUAGGGGAGCGUUCUGUAAGCCUGCGAAGGUGUGCUGUGAGGGAUGCUGGAGGUAUCAGAAGUGCGAAUGCUGACAUAAGUAACGAUAAAGCGGGUGAAAAGCCCGCUCGCCGGAAGACCAAGGGUUCCUGUCCAACGUUAAUCGGGGCAGGGUGAGUCGACCCCUAAGGCGAGGCCGAAAGGCGUAGUCGAUGGGAAACAGGUUAAUAUUCCUGUACUUGGUGUUACUGCGAAGGGGGGACGGAGAAGGCUAUGUUAGCCGGGCGACGGUUGUCCCGGUUUAAGCAUGUAGGCUGGUUGUCCAGGCAAAUCCGGAUAAUCAAGGCUGAGGUGUGAUGACGAGGCACUACGGUGCUGAAGUAACAAAUGCCCUGCUUCCAGGAAAAGCCUCUAAGCAUCAGGUAACAUUAAAUCGUACCCCAAACCGACACAGGUGGUCAGGUAGAGAAUACCAAGGCGCUUGAGAGAACUCGGGUGAAGGAACUAGGCAAAAUGGUGCCGUAACUUCGGGAGAAGGCACGCUGGUGUGUAGGUGAAGUCCCUGCGGAUGGAGCUGAGACCAGUCGAAGAUACCAGCUGGCUGCAACUGUUUAUUAAAAACACAGCACUGUGCAAACACGAAAGUGGACGUAUACGGUGUGACGCCUGCCCGGUGCCGGAAGGUUAAUUGAUGGGGUUAUCCGUAAGGAGAAGCUCUUGAUCGAAGCCCCGGUAAACGGCGGCCGUAACUAUAACGGUCCUAAGGUAGCGAAAUUCCUUGUCGGGUAAGUUCCGACCUGCACGAAUGGCGUAAUGAUGGCCAGGCUGUCUCCACCCGAGACUCAGUGAAAUUGAACUCGCUGUGAAGAUGCAGUGUACCCGCGGCAAGACGGAAAGACCCCGUGAACCUUUACUAUAGCUUGACACUGAACAUUGAGCCUUGAUGUGUAGGAUAGGUGGGAGGCUUUGAAGCGUGGACGCCAGUCUGCGUGGAGCCAACCUUGAAAUACCACCCUUUAAUGUUUGAUGUUCUAACGUUGGCCCCUUACCGGGGUUGCGGACAGUGUCUGGUGGGUAGUUUGACUGGGGCGGUCUCCUCCUAAAGCGUAACGGAGGAGCACGAAGGUUAGCUAAUCCUGGUCGGACAUCAGGAGGUUAGUGCAAUGGCAUAAGCUAGCUUGACUGCGAGCGUGACGGCGCGAGCAGGUGCGAAAGCAGGUCAUAGUGAUCCGGUGGUUCUGAAUGGAAGGGCCAUCGCUCAACGGAUAAAAGGUACUCCGGGGAUAACAGGCUGAUACCGCCCAAGAGUUCAUAUCGACGGCGGUGUUUGGCACCUCGAUGUCGGCUCAUCACAUCCUGGGGCUGAAGUAGGUCCCAAGGGUAUGGCUGUUCGCCAUUUAAAGUGGUACGCGAGCUGGGUUUAGAACGUCGUGAGACAGUUCGGUCCCUAUCUGCCGUGGGCGCUGGAGAAUUGAGGGGGGCUGCUCCUAGUACGAGAGGACCGGAGUGGACGCAUCACUGGUGUUCGGGUUGUCAUGCCAAUGGCACUGCCCGGUAGCUAAAUGCGGAAGAGAUAAGUGCUGAAAGCAUCUAAGCACGAAACUUGCCCCGAGAUGAGUUCUCCCUGAGACUUUAAGUCUCCUGAAGGAACGUUAAAGACGAUGACGUUGAUAGGCCGGGUGUGUAAGCGCAGCGAUGCGUUGAACUAACCGGUACUAAUGAACCGUGAGGCUUAACCUU